Molecule: ribosomal RNA, 524 nt
Filed under: uncultured bacterium
Lineage: Bacteria
Description: bacterial SSU rRNA
Rfam family: Bacterial small subunit ribosomal RNA
Source: RNAcentral
UGGGGAAUAUUGGACAAUGGGCGCAAGCCUGAUCCAGCAAUGCCGCGUGAGUGAUGAAGGCCUUCGGGUUGUAAAGCUCUUUCGCCUGCGAGGAUGAUGACGGUAGCAGGAGAAGAAGCCCCGGCUAACUUCGUGCCAGCAGCCGCGGUAAUACGAAGGGGGCGAGCGUUGUUCGGAUUUACUGGGCGUAAAGGGCGCGUAGGCGGCGAUGUAAGUCAGGCGUGAAAGCCCCGGGCUCAACCUGGGAACUGCGCUUGGGACUACAUUGCUGGAGUUCGGGAGAGGAGCGUGGAAUUCCCAGUGUAGAGGUGAAAUUCGUAGAUAUUGGGAAGAACACCGGUGGCGAAGGCGGCGCUCUGGACCGAUACUGACGCUGAGGCGCGAAAGCGUGGGGAGCAAACAGGAUUAGAUACCCUGGUAGUCCACGCUGUAAACGAUGUGUGCUAGACGUUGGGGAGCCUAGCUCUUCGGUGUCGCCGCUAACGCUGUAAGCACACCGCCUGGGGAGUACGGCCGCAAGGUUA